This is a long non-coding RNA of Hypanus sabinus (Atlantic stingray), 7503 nucleotides long. RefSeq lists it as uncharacterized. The record is from RefSeq and is a predicted model, not a curated record. The transcript is spliced from 3 exons. Lineage: Eukaryota; Metazoa; Chordata; Chondrichthyes; Myliobatiformes; Dasyatidae.
UUUAACAAGUAGAUAACAUAAAAGACACAUAAACAGCAAUAGUAAAAACAAAAAGCAUAUAAUAUCAAAAUCAAAUAGGUAAUACAUUAUGCUGUUGUAUGUACAAUGGUCAGAGAGAAAUUACAACUCCUCAUAAGAAUAGUAAAAAAAAAAGAUUGGAGAUUUUAUUGAUAGAGAAAGAAAAAAACCCACUAACUAAACUGAAGCAAAAAAAAAGAGAGAGAGAGAAAAAAACAUCCUUCCAGUCAUUUCUGAACCUUCAUGGAUAAGGAUAUUCUCCAAAGAGAAUAAAGAAAAAUAAAUAAAUAAAGACAAAUUAAAUCAUGUGAAAAUAUUGAAUAAAGGGUCUCCAGACUUUUUCAAAAUCAAAGGAUGUAUGAAAUGUCCGGCUUCUAAUUUUCUCCAAACUUAAACAUGACAUAAUGGAGGAGAGCCAAUAGAAAACAGUGGGCAUAUUAGCAAAAUAGCUCUCUUAGCCAGUAAAGUUGAAAAAGCGAUCACAUGAUGGGUGGAAGCAGACACUCUGCUUGCUUCUUCUGGAAAGAUCCCAAAACUUGCUGUAAGUGGAUUAGGAUGAACAUCCAUAUCUAUAACUUUAGAUAAUGUUCCAAACACAUCCCUCCAAAAAUUAUUUAAACUUACAAAUGACCAAAACAUUUGGGUUAGAGUAGCCACUUCUGUGUUACAACUGUCACAAAUAGGGCUUAUAUUAGGAAAAUAUAUGCACCAAUUCAUCUUUGGACAUAUGGGCCCUAUGUCCUAUCUUAAAGUGAAUUAAAAUAGGCGUGCACAGAUAGAUGAAUUAUUAACUACAUAAUAAAUUUUACUCCAUUGGUCAUCUGAGAGUGAAUGUUGACGUUCUACUUCCCAGGAGCGUUGAACCCUAUCAUUUGGCGAUGUGCGAGCAUUCGUUAACUGUUUAUAAAUGAUAGUUAUUAAUUGUUUUUGAAAAGGUUUAAACUGAAAAAUAACAUAAGCCAGAUUUAAAGAGCAGGCCAAGGGGUAAUUUGGUAAAAAAUCAUGUAAGAAAUACCUAACCUGUAAAUACCUGAAAAAAUGUGUAUUAGAGAUAUCAUAUUUAUCCAUUAACUGUGAAAAAGACAUUAAACAGUCUUGUAAAAACAAGUCUAAGAAAAGUUGUUAUUCCCUUAAUUUUCCAUGUAAGUAAAGCCUUAUCCAAAGUUGACGGUUUAAAAAAAAUUAGAAUAACUAUUACCAGAAAGUAAAAAAUCAUUUAAUUCAAAAAAUCUACAAAAUUGAAACCACAUUUUUAAGGUUUGUUUAACAAUAGGGUUAAGAGCUUGACUACUUAUUCUGGAGAGCGAAAACGGAAGGGGAGCUCCUAAUAAAGAAGCUAACGAAAACCCCACUACUGAAUUUUCCUCCAGCUGUAACCAUGAAGGGCAAACUUGAUCGUCUAUACCAUAAAUCCAAAAAGUAAUAUAGCAAAUAUUAAUUGCCCAAUAAUAAAAUCUAAAGUUUGAUAAAGCCAGUCCUCCAUCUUUUUUGAUUUUUGCAAUAAACGUUUAUGCACUCUAGAGCUUCUAUUAUUCCAAACAUAAGACAGAAUUAGAGAGUCUAUUUAAUCAAAACAUGUUUUUGGGAGAAAAUAGGGAACUUCUUGAAAUAUAUAUAAAAAUUUUGGUAAAAUAACCAUUUUUAUAGCAUUUAUUCGACCUAUCAGUGACAUCGACAUAGGUGACCAUUUGGAAAACACCUGUUGAGUAUAUUCAGUUAAAGGAAGGAAAUUAUACCUAUAUAGGUCUUUAAAAUAUUUGUAAUUUUGAUACCUAGGUAUGUAAAAUAGUUUUUGGCAAUAUUAAAAGGUAUUUGAUCAUAAUAAUCAAAACAAUUAUUAAUAGGAAAUAAUUCACAUUUAUGUAAAUUAAGUUAAUAUCCAAAAAAAGUACCAAAUUCCAUAAAUACAGAUAACAUAGAAAGAAUAGAUUUCUUAGGAUUUGAAAUGUAAACUAAUAAAUCAUCCGCAUAUAACGAAACUUUAUGUAAUUUAUCCCCUCUCCUAAUACCCUGCACAGAAUUGGAACCCCUAAGAGCAAUAGCAAGUGGUUCUAAAGCCAAAUUAAAUAAUAAAGGGCUAAGGGAACAACCCUGACAGGUACCUCUAUAUAAUCUAAAGUAAGGAUACAUUUGAUAUUAGUUAGAACCGCAGCUACUGGGGCAUGAUAAAUCAAUUUAAUCCAGGAGAUAAAUCCUGGACCAAAAUUGAACCUCUUUAAAACCUGAAAUAAAUAAGGCCACUCCACCCUAUCAAAGGUUUUCUCUGCAUCCAGAGAUACAAUACAUUCAGAUUAUUUGGCUGAGGGGGAAUAAAUGAUAUUUAAUAAUCUUCGAAUAUUAAAAUGUGAGUACCUAUUUUUAAUAACUCCUGCUUGAUUGUUUGAGAUAACAUUAGGCAACAUACUCUCAAGCCUAUUUGCUAGAAUCUUAGAGAGGAUUUUAAAAUCUACAUUCAGUAAAGAAAUAGGUCUAUAGGAUAUACAUUCCAGUGGGUCCUUCCCUUUUUUUGGAAUCAAUGAAAUUAAUGCUUCAUAAAAAGUUUUAGGAAGGUUCCCAGAAGAUGUAGAAUCGGUGAACGUUUAAUGAAGAUGUGGUAAAAGCAUUUCAUGAAAGGUCUUAUAAAAUUCUAUGUAUCCCCAUCAGGUCCCAGAGCUUUACCUAAUUGCAUAGAGGAUAUAGCCUUGGCUAUCUCCUCUUGUUUAAUAGGUGCAUCUAACAUAUCAGCAUCUUGAAUCGAGAUUUGAGGUAUGUUUAACCUUUGCAAAAAUCUAUUCAUGGUAAUAUUACUAUCAGAGAAUUCAGAUUUAUAAAGUUUAGAAUAAAAGUCCAUAAAUAUCUUAUUAAUUUCAUGAGGAUCUAAAGUUUCUGUUCUAUCUGUUUGGCGAAUUUUUUAAAUCUGUCUUGCGACCAUCCCAGCCUUUAACUGACCCGCUAGAAGUUUAGCAGAUUUUUCCCCAUGUAUAUAAAAUAAACUUUUAGAUUUAAAAAUUUGCUGUUCAAUGGGAAAGGUCAGAAGUAAAUCAUACUGUGAUUGAAGUUCGACCCUUUCUUUAUGUAGGUCAUCAGUAGGUCUAACUGAAUACGCUUUAUCUAUCUGUUUAACUUUAUUGAUAAACACUGACAAUUCAGCUUUAGUUUUCUUUCUCAAGGCUGCUGAAUAUGAGAUUAGCUGUCCCCUAAGAAAAGAUUUCAAGGUGUCCCAUAUAACCAGAUUUGACAUUCCUUCAGUUGUAUUAAAUUCAAAAAAUAUAGAAAUUUGCUCCUUUAUAAAAUUAACAAAAGCUGGAUCCUGUAACAAAACGGGGUUCAAUCUCCACUGAGAGAUUUUCAAAUAUCUAUCCGGGAGCUUAAGGGUUAACGUUAAAGGCGCGUGAUCUGAAAUCGCAAUGAUGUCAUACGCACAUUCAAGAACGGAGUUUAACAGACGUGUAAAAAAGUAAUCAAUUCGAGAAUAUUUGUAAUGGACGUGUGAAAAAAAGGAAAAAUCUUUAUCAUUAGGGAGUUUAUAUCUCCAAAUAUCAACAAGGCCAUAUUCUAAUAAAAAAGAGUUAAUACAAGCUGCCGCUUUGAUAGGAAGCGACGGAUUGGUUGAUCGCCGGAUUUAAGCAACAAUUAAAGUCACUACCCAUGAUCAGUUUAUAUUCAUUGAGCUUCGGUAACAAUGAAAAAAGUUUCUUAAAAAAAUAGAAUUAUCUACAUUAGCUGCGUAUACACACACCAGAGCUACAUUUUGCUCGCAUAAUAAGCCGGUAACAAGUAAAUAUCUUCCAAUCAAAUCAGUAGUAGUACUAAGGUGUACAGAAGGGAUUUUGGGACUAAUAAAUACAUAAACGCCUCUUGCUUUACUAUGCGACAGUGAGUGAAAAAGAGGACCUUUCCAAACGCGAAAAAAUCUACCCCCAUCCUGUUUUCGUAUAUGAUUUUCUUGCGCAAAAAUAUCAGCAUUAAGUGUUUUUAAUUUCUUUAAAAUCUUUUUACGCUUAAUGGGAUGAUUGACACCGUUCCAAUUCCAAGAUAUUAAUUUUAUUAACAUCCAUGUUUAAUAUUAUAUAAAAGAAAUGUUACGCAAGUACAGAUUAAACGAAAAGGCGCGGGUACAACCAGAAGGACCGACGCAUUUACGAAACAAAAAUCCAUCAAAAGAACUGUCCAAUCAAGAAAAAAACUACUCUAAUGGACCCACCCCCUCCCGCCACCCAAUAGAAUGAAAGAAAGGAACCGAUAGGCUGGUCCCAUGCUAGCUAAUAACCUUUAACCCUGUUCUCAUCUUGCCCCUCCAUAUAUAAAAAAAACAAAAAUCCCACGGAAAAUAGCUAUAAUAAAAGGCAUAAACAGAACUCAAUUACUAUAAUGUGUCUAACAUUCAUAAAAACAUAAUCAACAACGGCCAUUUUAGAAUCAGCUAAAGUAGCUUAAACACAUAUUCAAAAAAGGAAUAAAUCCGAGCAAAUAAUGUUACAAAGAAUAUUCUUUCUCUCGAGAAAGAAAAAUAAAUGAAUUUAUAUAUAUAUAUAACAGAACUAAAACUAUAAGUAUUGGAACAAAUAAAAGAAAUAAAAAGAUUAGUACACAACAGGUCCUACACGGACCGUUAAAGUACAAUACUAUAAAUGUUCCUACAAAACAGAUAUAUAUGUAUUAAUUAUUAAUAAGGUAAAAAAAAUUAAGUCGACCACGUCCCAUACCAGAGAUUGAAAAGGUAUAACAUGUACUUAACUCAAGAGCUCCAUAAACAACUCAUACAGCAGAUACUUUAAAAUUGCCUAUUGAAUAAUCGGUGUAACUUUAAUAUUUUAUUCCGGAGGCUUAACUUUAAGGUUUUUAAUAUACUCCCAUCCCUCCUGAGGAGAAGAGAUUCUCAAUGGUUGAGAGUUUUCGGUAAAAGUUAUCAGCUUUGCUGGAAAGCGAAGGGAGGGGUUUAAAUCUAAUUUAUACAUUUCACUCAUAACUUCUCGAUAUUUCUUUUUUUCGGCAAAGAUUUCGGGAGGAUAGUCUUGAACUAUACGAAUCUGUGUUGAAUUAAAGAGUAAUUUCCGUUUCAUUCUGGCUUCUCGAAGAAUAGCUUCUUUAGUCGUGUAAUAAUGCAAAGAAAGUACAACUGCUCGAGGACGUAAUUCGGCAGAACGGCGAGAGAAUGGAAUUCUGUGAGCUCUGUCGAUUAAGGGUCUAGUUUCGAGGGUGUCAUUGAAAAGUGAAUACAGCAUAUCUGAAAAGAAUUUUUACAGAUCGCCAGCUUCAGUAUUUUCAGGCAGUCGCAGAAUAGGCAGAUUCCUCCGACGCCCUCUACUAUCUAAAUCAACCAUUCUUUUCUUUCUUUUUAGAUAGUUCCGAGGUAAUUUCAUUGAUUUUCUUUUCCAUCGAAGAUAUCUUCAUUCCUUGAUCUUUAAUAGUUUGCUUGAAUAAAUCAUGCUCACUCUCGAUUCGGCUUGUAGUCUGCUGAAGUGUUUCAAGUUGAGAAUCCAAGUUUUUCAGCGAGUCUUGCUUGAAUCGUAGAAAUAACUUUUUCGAGAUUCCCAUUUGAACCGGUCAGUUUUUCAAUUUUAAUAUUAAGUGAUCCGAAUUCCGACUUCAUGUCUUGUAUUGAAGGAAAUAUUCCCGCUAGUGUACAGAUUCCUCCGUUUUCUUGGUUUGUUCCGUUUGUUCUAUUUCACGAAACGUCUUGCCGCUUCUUAAUUCAAUACCAGAACGACUUUUUUUUCGGCCAUUCUAAUUAAGUCGUGAAAUCCUUCAGUAGAAGUAGUAAGUCAUCAGAACUAAAAGGGAUCUGUUAGUGGGAUAGAAACGCGACCAUAUGCUGCAGAGAUGGAGACCGGUAAUAAACUUACAUUGAACAAUAUUUUUAAAAGUUUCUGCCUCUUUGCCAUCAGAUUUCUGAAUGGGAAUUGAGCUCUCCGCUAUUUCUCUUUUGCAUUACUUAUUAUUGUCAUCGUAACGUAAAGGAAUUUGUUUGCACUCUGCUGUCGAAAACAAAUGCUGCGAUUUAUAUCAGUGAGAAUAAACCUAGUUCUGUUUCUGAUGCCUGCAGAGGGCGUGCUAUCACUGCCAUUACAGCAGCGAUCAAAACUGAUCUUGUAGUAACCUCUCGUGUGCUAGUUUCUUUGUUUAAAAACUAUUAAAAAUAGAUCCCUAAUAAAUAAGGUGGAACUGAGCAUUUGAUAUAAUAUCAUACCAAGUCAAAUCAUAAACAAGUUUUUGUUUCUAAAGUUUAUCUUCACCUUAGUAAUUCAUUUUUAGAGAAUGAAGAUUUUUAACUGCCUGACUUUCCCAGCUGAAUACUUAAAUCAGACAGUAAACAUGCUGUGACAGAUCCAGCGGAAAGCCCCACUCAGCAGCUUACUUCGGGAAAACUGAGCAAACAUAUAACACUGACCCCUGACGUCGACAAUGGGCUUUUGUGGCAUCAGAUUUCGGUCUGUGGAGGAAUGGUCAAGACAGCAGAGGAGCACUGUAUAUAAUGCAGCCGUCACACCGUUCCAGCAAACUUGAUUCUGGCCUCCAGUACCCACUGCGAAGACCACAUUUUUCAAGUUCAAGUAGAAGUUCAAGUUUAUUUCAUUCAAUGGUACACACAUAUACAGGUAGAUGAAACAACGUUCCUCUGGGACCAAGGUGCAAAUCACAAUCACAAAGAAUGCCGGACCUGACACCAAUCCCAGUGAUGUACCACCAGUCACAGAUCACCAAUCUGCUAAACAAACUUCAGUCCCUGCCUAUACUCCAUUGUUACUGUCCUCUGUGUGUUCCCUGUAUUGUCAGCACUACAUUUCCCAAAAAUAUACAGUAUUCAUCACAUACAGUGAAUGUGUUUGGUAUUUACCAUUCUCUACAAUUGCUUCACAAUCAUAUCAAACCCUUCUCUUACAAUCCAUGACUCACAUUUUCACUUUAAACAAUAGACUAGGAAGUUUGAGGGGGUGUUGCUUGUAUCCUGAGACAAGACUGCAGAAAUUCUGUGAAAAUCCAGACAAAAUCUAAAGCCACAAAAUGCUGGAGGAGCUCAGCAGGCCAGGCAGCCUCUAUGAAAAAGCGUAAACAGUCAAUUAUUCAGGCUGAGACCCUUCGUCAGGAUUGGAAAGGAAGGGGAAAAGUCAGAUAAGAAGGUGGAAGAAGAGCAGGAAGCAGUACAGAGUGAAACAGGGAGAGGGGAACAGGUGAAGUAAAGAGCUGGGUAGUUGAUUUGUGACAGGGAGAAAGGGCUGGAGGGGAGGAAUUCAAUAGCUGAGGACAGAAGACCAUGGAAGAAAGGGAAGGGGGAGGGGCGCCAGAGGGAAAUGAUGGGCAGAUUAGAAGAGAAGGCUUGAGGCAGAAACAAGAAUGGGGAAUGGUAAAGGAGAGGGGAGGGGAUUACUGGAACUUCAAGAAAUCAAUGCUCAUGCCAUCAGCUUGGUAGCUGCCCAAGCAGAAUAUAACUUGUUGCUCCUCAAACCUGAGUCUGGUCUUUUCCCGACAACAGAGGAGGGCAUGGACUGACACAUCAGACUGGAA